Molecule: ribosomal RNA, 449 nt
Filed under: uncultured bacterium
Lineage: Bacteria
Description: partial 16S ribosomal RNA
Rfam family: Bacterial small subunit ribosomal RNA
Source: RNAcentral
AACGAACGCUGGCGGCAGGCUUAACACAUGCAAGUCGAGCGGGCCCUUCGGGGUCAGUGGCAGACGGGUGAGUAACGCGUGGGAACGUGCCCUUCAGUUCGGGAUAACCCAGGGAAACUUGGGCUAAUACCGGAUACGUGCGAGAGCAGAAAGAUUUAUCGCUGAAGGAUCGGCCCGCGUCUGAUUAGCUGGUUGGUGGGGUAAUGGCCCACCAAGGCGACGAUCAGUAGCUGGUCUGAGAGGAUGAUCAGCCACAUUGGGACUGAGACACGGCCCAAACUCCUACGGGAGGCAGCAGUGGGGAAUAUUGGACAAUGGGCGCAAGCCUGAUCCAGCCAUGCCGCGUGAGCGAUGACGGCCUUAGGGUUGUAAAGCUCUUUCGCACGCGACGAUAAUGACGGUAGCGUGAGAAGAAGCCCCGGCUAACUUCGUGCCAGCCGCCGCAGUAA